AGAGUGAACGCUGGCGGUGCGCCUAAAACAUGCAAGUCGAGUGGGUUCAGACCCACGGCAGACGGCUGCGUAACACAUGGGUACCUACCCCGAACUCAGGAAUAUCCCGCCGAAAGGCGGAGUAAUGACGGAUAGUCCCGCAAGGGUAAAGCUUUCGCGGUUCGGGAGGGGCCUGUGCCCUAUCAGUUAGUUGGUGAGGUAACGGCUCACCAAGACAAUGACGGGUAGCUGGUUUGAGAGAACGACCAGCCAGAAUGGAACUGAGACACGGUCCAUACUCCUACGGGAGGCAGCAGUUAGGAAUCUUCCGCAAUGGGCGCAAGCCUGACGGAGCGACACCGCGUGAAGGAUGAAGCCCUUUCUGGGUGUUAAACUUCUGUUGUGGAGGACGUAAAUUUUUGACGGUACCUCACGAGAAAGCACAGCUAAUCUGCGCAGCAGCCGC
RNAcentral lists this ribosomal RNA (445 nucleotides) under uncultured soil bacterium. Its description in RNAcentral is "bacterial SSU rRNA". It matches the Rfam family "Bacterial small subunit ribosomal RNA", at positions 26 to 518 of the family's 1533-position model. The record is from RNAcentral.